Molecule: ribosomal RNA, 253 nt
Filed under: uncultured bacterium
Lineage: Bacteria
Description: partial 16S ribosomal RNA
Rfam family: Bacterial small subunit ribosomal RNA
Source: RNAcentral
UACGUAGGGGGCUAGCGUUGUUCGGAAUUACUGGGCGUAAAGCGCGUGUAGGCGGUUUUGUAAGUCAGAAGUGAAAGCCCUCGGCUCAACCGAGGAAUUGCUUUUGAAACUACAAAACUUGAGUAUGGGCGGGGAGAGCAGAAUUCCCGGUGUAGCGGUGAAAUGCGUAGAUAUCGGGAAGAAUACCGGUGGCGAAGGCGGCUCUCUGGACCAUCACUGACGCUGAGACGCGAAAGCGUGGGGAGCAAACAGG